UACGGGGGGGGCAAGCGUUGUUCGGAAUUACUGGGCGUAAAGGGCUCGUAGGCGGCCAACUAAGUCAGACGUGAAAUCCCUCGGCUUAACCGGGGAACUGCGUCUGAUACUGGAUGGCUUGAAUCCGGGAGAGGGAUGCGGAAUUCCAGGUGUAGCGGUGAAAUGCGUAGAUAUCUGGAGGAACACCGGUGGCGAAGGCGGCAUCCUGGCCCGGUACUGACGCUGAGGCGCGAAAGCGUGGGGAGCAAACAGG
This 253-nucleotide ribosomal RNA is filed under the name uncultured bacterium. Its description in RNAcentral is "partial 16S ribosomal RNA". It matches the Rfam family "Bacterial small subunit ribosomal RNA", at positions 524 to 776 of the family's 1533-position model. The record is from RNAcentral.